RNAcentral lists this ribosomal RNA (387 nucleotides) under uncultured Glomeromycotina. Its description in RNAcentral is "SSU rRNA". It matches the Rfam family "Eukaryotic small subunit ribosomal RNA", at positions 569 to 953 of the family's 1831-position model. The record is from RNAcentral. Lineage: Eukaryota; Fungi; Glomeromycota.
AGCAGCCGCGGUAAUUCCAGCUCCAAUAGCGUAUAUUAAAGUUGUUGCAGUUAAAAAAGCUCGUAGUUGAAUUUCGGGAUUGACGUGACGGUCAUGCCUUAAGGGGUAUGAACUGUUACAGUUGAUUUCUCACCUUCUGGAGAAAUUUGAUGUCCUUUAUUGGGUGUCUUGCGGAUCCAGGACCUUUACCUUGAAAAAAUUAGAGUGUUUAAAGCAGGCAUUUUUGCUCGAAUACAUUAGCAUGGAAUAAUAGAAUAGGACGGCAUGGUUCUAUUUUGUUGGUUUCUAGGAUCACCGUAAUGAUUAAUAGGGAUAGUUGGGGCAUUAGUAUUCAAUUGUCAGAGGUGAAAUUCUUGGAUUUAUUGAAGACUAACUACUGCGAAAGCA